RNAcentral lists this ribosomal RNA (459 nucleotides) under uncultured bacterium. RNAcentral's name for it is "SSU rRNA". It matches the Rfam family "Bacterial small subunit ribosomal RNA", at positions 26 to 518 of the family's 1533-position model. The record is from RNAcentral.
AGGACAAACGCUGGCGGCGUACCUAAGACAUGCAAGUCGAACGGGACUUUCCGCCUUUGGUGGGAAGUCGAGUGGCGGACGGGUGAGUAACGCGUGGGAACCUGUCGCGCGGUGGGGGAUACCGCCGGGAAACCGGCGCUAAUACCGCAUAGGUUCAUCGGAAGGUGAACAAAGCAGCAAUGCGCCGUGUGAGGGGCCCGCGUCCGAUUAGCUCGUUGGUGGGGUAACGGCCUACCAAGGCGACGAUCGGUAGCUGGUCUGAGAGGAUGGUCAGCCACACUGGGACUGAGACACGGCCCAGACUCCUACGGGAGGCAGCAGUUAGGAAAUUUUUCCAAUGGGGGAAACCCUGAGAGAGUAACGCCGCGUGGGGAUGACGGCCUUCGGUUGUAACCCUUUCCGUGGAGAGUAGAGACGGUACCACGGAGAAGCCUCGGCUAACUACGUGCCAGCAGCCGC